RNAcentral lists this long non-coding RNA (208 nucleotides) under Trifolium pratense (red clover). RNAcentral's name for it is "long non-coding RNA (TPRA_LNC011312)". The record is from RNAcentral. Lineage: Eukaryota; Viridiplantae; Streptophyta; Magnoliopsida; Fabales; Fabaceae.
AAUAAGAAUAAAGAAAUAUUACUAGAGUGGAUGAAAGAUUUUGUAUAAAAUAAACAAAAAUUAUUAUGACAAUAAACUUACUUUUACCAACGACUACAACGAUGAAAAGAGAAAUAAAAAGUAUCAUAAUAUAAACAAACUUGAGAGUUUCACCCAUUUGUUUUUUACCUUUCAAUGUACAAAUUUAAAAUGUUUUGAUGACUUUAUA